GGGCUAGGGCUUGACUCUUACUCUUUUCAGGGUGAACACCUGCCUUUUAGCCCUCCUUCCUUAUGGUUUCUUUACCUGGAUGAGGCUCUGGUCUCUAUCCGUGCCUUAUUUUAGAAUAAGGGGAAGGGCUGUGUGGAGGAGAAGAUCCUUUGGCUACGAGGCUACCGUGGUUCCUGAGAGCUACUACCCAGCAGCUCGGAGGUUAAAGGGGGAAUGAGAGAAAGUAGCAAUACUGGAAGAGGAAAGGGAAAUAAUGAUCUAAUAUGAUCCUUGAAAGCUCCCUGCAGCCAACUACAGAGAGGAUUUGGAGACUUACAGUGAAAUGACUGACACUAGGUCAACCGCCAAGAGCUGUGAGUGGGCUAGGGCGUGAAGGAGGUGAUGUGGAGACAAUGGAGCUGCUAACCCUGUGGUCAACGGUGGAUCCAACUGAUUCACUCACCUCGGCCCACUUCUGCUUUUGGGAUCAUGGUGUACCAGGAAGCUGAGCCAGGAUAUCUAUAUAUCCUGCAGAGAGAUCAGACUUCCUUGGGACCAGACUGGAUCUGGAGCGUGGACCGGAGUCUUGCAUCCCCCCAACACCUGGAUUUAGAGGGUGGACUGUGGAAUGCUGGAGUUGGUUGCUGUCUUAAGAAUCACCUGAUUGUUUCAUGCCUCCAUAUCUGCCUCAUCUCUUUCCACUCAACUAUUCGUUGACUCUCUCUUUGAACGUUUGGAAUGGAAAAAUCCGUGUGGCAGGAUUCUCAGCUUCUAGGUUGAGGCUAAUGUUCAUAUUUUAACUUCAAUAUCACUAAAAAGA
This 799-nucleotide long non-coding RNA is filed under the name Ornithorhynchus anatinus (platypus). RNAcentral's name for it is "lncRNA (ENSOANG00000049522.1)". Lineage: Eukaryota; Metazoa; Chordata; Mammalia; Monotremata; Ornithorhynchidae. The record is from RNAcentral.